GAUGAACGCUGGCGGCGUGCCUAAUACAUGCAAGUCGAGCGAACAGACGAGGAGCUUGCUCCUCUGACGUUAGCGGCGGACGGGUGAGUAACACGUGGAUAACCUACCUAUAAGACUGGGAUAACUUCGGGAAACCGGAGCUAAUACCGGAUAAUAUAUUGAACAGCAUGGUUCAAUAGUGAAAGACGGUUUUGCUGUCACUUAUAGAUGGAUCCGCGCCGCAUUAGCUAGUUGGUAAGGUAACGGCUUACCAAGGCAACGAUGCGUAGCCGACCUGAGAGGGUGAUCGGCCGCACUGGAACUGAGACACGGGCCAGACUCCUACGGGAGGCAGCAGUAGGGAAGCUUCCGCAAAGGGCGAAAGCCUGACGGAGCAACGCCGCGUGAGUGAUGAAGGUCUUCGGAUCGUAAAACUCUGUUAUUAGGGAAGAACAAAUGUGUAAGUAACUAUGCACGUCUUGACGGUACCUAAUCAGAAAGCCACGGCUAACUACGUG
This 497-nucleotide ribosomal RNA is filed under the name uncultured bacterium. RNAcentral's name for it is "partial 16S ribosomal RNA". It matches the Rfam family "Bacterial small subunit ribosomal RNA", at positions 28 to 507 of the family's 1533-position model. The record is from RNAcentral.